Molecule: ribosomal RNA, 616 nt
Filed under: uncultured bacterium
Lineage: Bacteria
Description: partial 16S ribosomal RNA
Source: RNAcentral
GGGGCUUSCUUUAGAGGUACCGUCAUCMUCGUUCCUCUUGACAGAGCUUUACAUCCCGAAAGACUUCGUCACUCACGCGGCGUCGCUGCGUCAGAGUUUCCUCCAUUGCGCAAUAUUCCCCACUGCUGCCUCCCGUAGGAGUCUGGACCGUAUCUCAGUUCCAGUGUGGCUGAUCAUCCUCUCAGACCAGCUACUGAUCAUCGCCUUGGUAGGCCAUUACCCCACCAGCAAGCUAAUCAGGCAUAAGCCCCUCCUUAAGUAGUAAACCUUUCUUCUUUUUAACAUGCGAAAAAAAGAAAAUAUCCGGUAUUAGCAUUCCUUUCGAAAUGUUAUCCCGGUCUUAAGGGCAGGUUGCUUAUGUAUUACUCACCCGUUUGCCACUAACUUUUAAAAACUUCGGCCGAAGCUUCCAUUUAAAAAAGCCCGUUCGACUUGCAUGUGUUAAGCACGCCGCCAGCGUUCACCCUGAGCCAGGAUCAAACUCUAAUCGAAUUCCCGCGGCCGCCAUGGCGGCCGGGAGCAUGCGACGUCGGGCCCAAUUCGCCCUAUAGUGAGUCGUAUUACAAUUCACUGCCCGUCGUUUACAGAGGGGAUAGRGSUAAGCRGAUKUAAAUGG